RNAcentral lists this ribosomal RNA (327 nucleotides) under uncultured eukaryote. RNAcentral's name for it is "partial 18S ribosomal RNA". It matches the Rfam family "Eukaryotic small subunit ribosomal RNA", at positions 1470 to 1796 of the family's 1831-position model. The record is from RNAcentral.
CCCUUAGAUGUUCUGGGCCGCACGCGCGCUACACUGAUUCAUGCAACAAGUUUUGUCCUUGGCUGAUAGGCCUGGGUAAUCUUUGAACGUGAACCGUGAUGGGGAUAGAUGAUUGCAAUUAUUCAUCUUCAACGAGGAAUUCCUAGUAAACGCAAGUCAUCAGCUUGCAUUGAUUACGUCCCUGCCCUUUGUACACACCGCCCGUCGCACCUACCGAUUGAAUGGUCCGGUGAAAUCUUCGGAUCUGAGAGAUGUCUGAUUAAUUUCGGACGCCUUUUGGAAAAGUUGCUUAAACCUUACCAUUUAGAGGAAGGUGAAGUCGUAACA